This 706-nucleotide ribosomal RNA is filed under the name uncultured bacterium. RNAcentral's name for it is "bacterial SSU rRNA". It matches the Rfam family "Bacterial small subunit ribosomal RNA", at positions 28 to 712 of the family's 1533-position model. The record is from RNAcentral.
AAUCAACGCUGGCGGCGUGCCUAACACAUGCAAGUCGAACGCGAAAGGGGCUUCGGCCCUGAGUAGAGUGGCAAACGGGUGAGUAACACGUGGGUGACCUGCCUUCGAGUGGGGGAUAACGUUUCGAAAGGAACGCUAAUACCGCAUGACAUCCCGCUCUUGGAUGAGGGGUGAUUAAAGCCGGGGAUCGCAAGACCUGGCGCUUGAAGAGGGGCCCGCGCCUGAUUAGCUAGUUGGUGGGGUAACGGCCUACCAAGGCGACGAUCAGUAGCCGGCCUGAGAGGGCGGACGGCCACACUGGGACUGAGACACGGCCCAGACUCCUACGGGAGGCAGCAGUGGGGAAUUGUUCGCAAUGGGCGCAAGCCUGACGACGCAACGCCGCGUGGAGGAUGAAGAUCUUCGGGUCGUAAACUCCUGUCGAGCGGGACGAACAUCUUCCGGGGGACAAUCCCGGAGGGCUGACGGUACCGCUAAAGGAAGCCCCGGCUAACUCCGUGCCAGCAGCCGCGGUAAUACGGGGGGGGGCAAGCGUUGUUCGGAAUUACUGGGCGUAAAGGGCUCGUAGGCGGCGCGCUAAGUCAGACGUGAAAUCCCCCGGCUCAACCGGGGAACUGCGUCUGAGACUGGCGGGCUUGAAUCCGGGAGAGGGAUGCAGAAUUCCAGGUGUAGCGGUGAAAUGCGUAGAUAUCUGGAGGAAUACCGG